This 253-nucleotide ribosomal RNA is filed under the name uncultured bacterium. RNAcentral's name for it is "partial 16S ribosomal RNA". It matches the Rfam family "Bacterial small subunit ribosomal RNA", at positions 524 to 776 of the family's 1533-position model. The record is from RNAcentral.
UACGUAGGGGGCUAGCGUUGUCCGGAAUCAUUGGGCGUAAAGCGCGUGUAGGCGGCCCGGUAAGUCCGCUGUGAAAGUCCAGGGCUCAACCCUGGGAUGCCGGUGGAUACUGUCGGGCUCGAGUCCGGAAGAGGCGAGUGGAAUUCCUGGUGUAGCGGUGAAAUGCGCAGAUAUCGGGAGGAACACCAGUGGCGAAGGCGGCACUCUGGGCCGGAACUGACGCUGAGGAGCGAAAGCGUGGGGAGCGAACAGG